Long non-coding RNA from Solenopsis invicta (red fire ant), 2511 nucleotides. RefSeq lists it as uncharacterized. NCBI's taxonomy places the organism in Eukaryota, Metazoa, Arthropoda, Insecta, Hymenoptera, Formicidae. The record is from RefSeq and is a predicted model, not a curated record. The transcript has 3 exons.
AGUCGCUUUACAAGUAACGGCAACAAUAGUCAGAAACAUGAGAGUAUUCGUUGCGAAAUCAUCGAUAUUAUCGACAACAAGAAUGAUAUCCAGGAAUUGAGUUAUCAUCAAAAAGUAUAACAAGCCUACUACUAUAAAGUGCACGUUUAUUUUCCGUUUACGCGAACAGCGUAAUAACAGCUGUAUAGUAUGCAACGGUCGUCUUACUUGAUCAAGGGGUGCAUUUACCCUUGUAAACACGUUGUCAUAUUCCCAUCGAAUGAAAUGUUUCUUCCCAUUCACGUCAGAAAAGUCAUGGCAACAAUUCAGUGAAUAAGAAAAACUAUAUGUAAUUACUGUUUGUCUGCUUACCGAGUACGAAGAGCGCUGGCAGAACACAUCGACUCUUGCAUACCUUCAGUAUCUGACAGAUGUAGAAUAUCUCAUGGAAAUAGUACUGUUCUUCUUUUAUUUUUCUUUUUAACCGAAUUAAUCCUUAAGCGGGCGCACCUUCUGGCCGAAUGUUAAUGGACGCGCGCGGCACUGCGUGCCGCAUCACAAAUUUAUUAUUCAAAAAUUAUAAUAAUUGGAUAAAUAAUUGUAAAAUUAUCAUGAAAGCAAGUAAAAUAUAUUUGCGUUAAAAUAUAAUAUUAAAAUUUAAAUAUAAUAUUGAAACUUUGUGUCUAUUUUCUCUUAUGAAAUUAAUUCGGUUAGACGUAACUAAAAAAUUAAAAAUAAGAUAAUUGUUUAAAAAUGAAGACACUUAUUUAAAAUCAAGCGUAGAAAAGUAAUAACAGUAACAGUGCUGUUACUGUUAUUAUGAUGAAAAAUAAAGUUUUUAAAACUUUUAAAAAAAUAACAACAAUAAUUAUAAAUAAUCAAAGUUAUUUUCCUUUAUAUAUCUAAGUACUUAGAAUCUUUUUGAGACUUAUAACAGGAAAAGGGAAAGGUUUGUCUAGGAUGUCUCUAAAAUAGUUUCUAUUUGUUUUGUAUGGGCUGUUUAUCUGUAACACAACCUAAUGUAACCCAACUUUAACCCAAUUUAUUCAAAAUUAGCGCUGGCAAAAAAGAGAUAUUAAACAGCAAUGCGAGUAAAAACAAUUUAAAAUGUAGGAAACAAACAUUUCGUAUUAUUACAAUUAUUUAUAUAAACAAGAUUUUACUUACAUUUUGAGGCGCACGCGGCAUUUCGUGCCGCAAAACGGUGUCUUAAUGUUCUCAAAACGGAUAAAAAGUUAAUUACUUGAUAGGAAAAAUGCAACAACUACUCUAUUUUAUGGUUGAGAUGUUGAAUGAGGAAUACAGAAGGUCGGUAAUAGAAGUAGAGAAGUUUGAAUCAAUUGAAUAAAAAUAUAUAGCAUGUAGAAACACAAAAAUUUUUAAUGUACUUAAUUGCUUUAUCGUCAACUAAGAUGUAUAAUCAUAGCGCUAUGUCUUUCGUAGCAUCAAAUUAUAUACAGGACAUUAAAAAGUCAAUAUAAGAAGAGUUUGAAAAUUUUACAAAUCCAAACUUUUUUUUUUUUAAAUGACAAUGUACGUGUCUGCGUCUUGUAUUUGAAAUAUCUCGAGAAUGUAAAGAAAAGUGUCCAAGACAAAUUUUAGAGGUUUUAUGCACAAUGUUCAUAUCAGUAAUUGCGUUUAUUUAUUUUACAAUGAACGGUUUAUUUGUUGUGUGAUAUACAUAUUGCGAAGGAAUGAAUGAAGUCUCAAAAUUGUUGCAGAACAUUAAAUGCGGAGAAAGUCGCUCUUAGAAGCUGUAAAAUAAAAUAAGAAUUUAUUAAAAAUUAAGCGUCAUACUUGUAAGUAAUAUCAUAGACAAGUUUUCAGUUCAAAUACUAACAUUGGUAUAAGAUUCCAGGGAUAAUGUCACUAAAAAACUGCUGGUAAAUUUAAUGGGUUUUGAGCUACGCUUCAUAAUCAUCAUUAAAUCCUUUCGUUCGUUGAGUGUCAUCGACAUCCAGUUCAUGUGAUAUACCGCUUCGCCCAAUUCAGAACUCUACGCAAAUAAAACUGAUCAAAAUGAGUGGAAAAAUAGUGAAAAAAGCAUAAUGGCAAAAAUCUUGCACGGUUUUCGUUUUGCUAUAAUAUUAUUUUUCUUUUAUCCAAAUAUAUUUCUCUUUAUAGCAGCCAUAACUUAUACCUUGAUUAUAACUUGGUUUCCAGACCAGCAAUAAAUAAAAAUUUGUAUAAACAUGCUGACUGUGAAGACGACCCAGGUACUGACGUCUACAACUGUCAAAUGAGAAGACAGGUGGUACACAAUCGAACACAAUACCAAAACACUGACGAAAAAUUGAAUGAAGAUCACUUGACUGUACACAUUGUUGAACUUUUCGGCAAGUCUACAAAUGUUUAUACAUCUUAUCACAAAUAACAUGUAUUACAAUCAAUAAUGUAUUACAAAUAUAUAGUUGAAAAAUGAAAUUGUUAACAUACUUUGUACAAUCAUGUACAGAGCACACGUACUUAUACAUGUAAAGAGCAUUAUUCAAUCGAUUAUUUAAUAAAAAAAAAGGUACAGAUACAUAUAAA